UGCGAGCGUUGUUCGGAAUUAUUGGGCGUAAAGGGCGCGUAGGCGGUGCGGUAAGUCACCUGUGAAAUCUCCUGGCUCAACUGGGAGCUUGCAGGCGAAACUGCCGUGCUGGAGUGUGGGAGAGGUGCGUGGAAUUCCUGGUGUAGCGGUGAAAUGCGUAGAUAUCAGGAGGAACACCUGUGGCGAAAGCGGCGCACUGGACCACAACUGACGCUGAGGCGCGAAAGCUAGGGGAGCAAACAGG
RNAcentral lists this ribosomal RNA (244 nucleotides) under uncultured bacterium. RNAcentral's name for it is "partial 16S ribosomal RNA". It matches the Rfam family "Bacterial small subunit ribosomal RNA", at positions 533 to 776 of the family's 1533-position model. The record is from RNAcentral.